CCUACGGGAGGCAGCAGUGGGGAAUAUUGGACAAUGGGCGCAAGCCUGAUCCAGCCAUGCCGCGUGAGUGAUGAAGGCCUUAGGGUUGUAAAGCUCUUUUAUCCGGGAAGAUAAUGACUGUACCGGAAGAAUAAGCCCCGGCUAACUUCGUGCCAGCAGCCGCGGUAAUACGAAGGGGGCUAGCGUUGCUCGGAAUAACUGGGCGUAAAGGGCGCGUAGGCGGAUGAUUAAGUCGGAGGUGAAAGCCCAGGGCUCAACCCUGGAAUUGCCUUCGAUACUGAUCGUCUCGAGAGUGGUAGAGGUAAGUGGAACUCCGAGUGUAGAGGUGAAAUUCGUAGAUAUUCGGAAGAACACCAGUGGCGAAGGCGACUUACUGGACCAUUUCUGACGCUGAGGCGCGAAAGCGUGGGGAUCAAACAGGAUUAGAUACCCUGGUAGUCCACGCCGUAAACGAUGAAUGCCAGCCGUUGGGCAGCUUGCUGCUCAGUGGCGCAGCUAACGUACUUAACGUACAUUCCGUCCGUCGGGGAGGUACGGUCGCGAAGAAUUAAAACUAACAAAGGAAAGUUAGACGGCGUGAGACGUGCCGAACGGACGACCGACGAGGGGAAGGUAGGAG
RNAcentral lists this ribosomal RNA (619 nucleotides) under uncultured bacterium. RNAcentral's name for it is "bacterial SSU rRNA". The stretch from base 1 to 521 matches the Rfam family "Bacterial small subunit ribosomal RNA", at positions 338 to 873 of the family's 1533-position model. The record is from RNAcentral.